This 104-nucleotide ribosomal RNA is filed under the name uncultured bacterium. RNAcentral's name for it is "partial 16S ribosomal RNA". It matches the Rfam family "Bacterial small subunit ribosomal RNA", at positions 1379 to 1482 of the family's 1533-position model. The record is from RNAcentral.
CCUUGUACACACCGCCCGUCACACCAUGGGAGUUGGCUUUACCUGAAGACGGUGCGCUAACCGCAAGGAGGCAGCCGGCCACGGUAGGGUCGGCGACUGGGGUG